RNAcentral lists this ribosomal RNA (453 nucleotides) under uncultured bacterium. RNAcentral describes it as "bacterial SSU rRNA". It matches the Rfam family "Bacterial small subunit ribosomal RNA", at positions 8 to 507 of the family's 1533-position model. The record is from RNAcentral.
AGAGUUUGAUCAUGGCUCAGAACGAACGCUGGCGGCAUGCCUAACACAUGCAAGUCGAACGAGACCUUCGGGUCUAGUGGCGCACGGGUGCGUAACGCGUGGGAAUCUGCCCUUGGGUUCGGAAUAACAGCGAGAAAUUGCUGCUAAUACCGGAUGAUGACGUAAGUCCAAAGAUUUAUCGCCCAAGGAUGAGCCCGCGUAGGAUUAGCUAGUUGGUGAGGUAAAGGCUCACCAAGGCGACGAUCCUUAGCUGGUCUGAGAGGAUGAUCAGCCACACUGGGACUGAGACACGGCCCAGACUCCUACGGGAGGCAGCAGUGGGGAAUAUUGGACAAUGGGCGAAAGCCUGAUCCAGCAAUGCCGCGUGAGUGAUGAAGGCCUUAGGGUUGUAAAGCUCUUUUACCCGGGAUGAUAAUGACAGUACCGGGAGAAUAAGCUCCGGCUAACUCCGUG